This 492-nucleotide ribosomal RNA is filed under the name uncultured bacterium. RNAcentral's name for it is "partial 16S ribosomal RNA". It matches the Rfam family "Bacterial small subunit ribosomal RNA", at positions 30 to 523 of the family's 1533-position model. The record is from RNAcentral.
AUUGAACGCUGGCGGCAUGCUUUACACAUGCAAGUCGAACGGUAACAGGUUAAGCUGACGAGUGGCGAACGGGUGAGUAAUGCAUCGGAACGUGCCCGGUCGUGGGGGAUAACGCAGCGAAAGCUGCGCUAAUACCGCAUACGAUCUGAGGAUGAAAGCGGGGGACCGUAAGGCCUCGCGCGAUCGGAGCGGCCGAUGUCAGAUUAGGUAGUUGGUGGGGUAAAGGCUCACCAAGCCAACGAUCUGUAGCUGGUCUGAGAGGACGACCAGCCACACUGGGACUGAGACACGGCCCAGACUCCUACGGGAGGCAGCAGUGGGGAAUUUUGGACAAUGGGCGAAAGCCUGAUCCAGCAAUGCCGCGUGCAGGAAGAAGGCCUUCGGGUUGUAAACUGCUUUUGUACGGAGCGAAAGGUCUCCUCUAAUACAGGGGGCUCAUGACGGUACCGUAAGAAUAAGCACCGGCUAACUACGUGCCAGCCGCCGCCGUAA